Long non-coding RNA from Drosophila willistoni, 341 nucleotides. RefSeq lists it as uncharacterized. The record is from RefSeq and is a predicted model, not a curated record. Lineage: Eukaryota; Metazoa; Arthropoda; Insecta; Diptera; Drosophilidae. The transcript has 3 exons.
UACUAGGGAUGUUAGAAAUAUCGAUAUGAUAUAUCGCAUAUCGAUAUUCUGAACGAUAUGUAUUUGGAUUGUAUUAUUAUUUAAUUAUCGAUAGUUCGAUAGCCGUGUAAAAUCUACCAGAGAUGCGCUCGUGCUUAACAAUAAAAGGGUGGGCCAAAAGCAGAAUAUGUAGAUGUCCUUCGUGUGAUCAGGAUUCAUGGGACUCACAGCUAGGCCAAAAACACCAUCGGUCCAUUGGAAAUUAACGCCACCAACAUUUAAAUCACCCUGCAGGGGAUCAAAGUAGAUGAAAUUAUGCUUUAUUCGAUUAGAAACUGAAUUAAACUGAAUACUCCAUGGCA